RNAcentral lists this unclassified non-coding RNA (195 nucleotides) under Glomus sp. Its description in RNAcentral is "partial internal transcribed spacer 2". Lineage: Eukaryota; Fungi; Glomeromycota; Glomeromycetes; Glomerales; Glomeraceae. The record is from RNAcentral.
GUGAAUCAUCGAAUUUUUGAACGCAAAUUGCACUCUCUGGGGAGAGGAUGACUGUUUGUGGGUCAGCCUAAAAAAAAUCGACAUAGUUGCUGUUACGAGGUAACAUUAGACGGAAAUUGGGUCAACUUAAACCUUUGGGUUUAAGCGGCUUAAAAUUGUAUUUACGAUGCCAAGUAGGAUUCUAAAAUUUUGUUU